UGCGAGGCCGAAAGGCGUAGUCGAUGGGAAACAGGUUAAUAUUCCUGUACUUGGUGUUACUGCGAAGGGGGGACGGAGAAGGCUAUGUUGGCCGGGCGACGGUUGUCCCGGUUUAAGCGUGUAGGCUGGUUUUCCAGGCAAAUCCGGAAAAUCAAGGCUGAGGCGUGAUGACGAGGCACUACGGUGCUGAAGCAACAAAUGCCCUGCUUCCAGGAAAAGCCUCUAAGCAUCAGGUAACAUCAAAUCGUACCCCAAACCGACACAGGUGGUCAGGUAGAGAAUACCAAGGCGCUUGAGAGAACUCGGGUGAAGGAACUAGGCAAAAUGGUGCCGUAACUUCGGGAGAAGGCACGCUGAUAUGUAGGUGAAGCGACUUGCUCGUGGAGCUGAAAUCAGUCGAAGAUACCAGCUGGCUGCAACUGUUUAUUAAAAACACAGCACUGUGCAAACACGAAAGUGGACGUAUACGGUGUGACGCCUGCCCGGUGCCGGAAGGUUAAUUGAUGGGGUUAGCGCAAGCGAAGCUCUUGAUCGAAGCCCCGGUAAACGGCGGCCGUAACCAUAACGGUCCUAAGGUAGCGAAAUUCCUUGUCGGGUAAGUUCCGACCUGCACGAAUGGCGUAAUGAUGGCCAGGCUGUCUCCACCCGAGACUCAGUGAAAUUGAACUCGCUGUGAAGAUGCAGUGUACCCGCGGCAAGACGGAAAGACCCCGUGAACCUUUACUAUAGCUUGACACUGAACAUUGAGCCUUGAUGUGAAGGAUAGGUGGGAGGCUUUGAAGUGUGGACGCCAGUCUGCAUGGAGCCGACCUUGAAAUACCACCCUUUAAUGUUUGAUGUUCUAACGUUGACCCGUAAUCCGGGUUGCGGACAGUGUCUGGUGGGUAGUUUGACUGGGGCGGUCUCCUCCUAAAGAGUAACGGAGGAGCACGAAGGUUGGCUAAUCCUGGUCGGACAUCAGGAGGUUAGUGCAAUGGCAUAAGCCAGCUUGACUGCGAGCGUGACGGCGCGAGCAGGUGCGAAAGCAGGUCAUAGCGAUCCGGUGGUUCUGAAUGGAAGGGCCAUCGCUCAACGGAUAAAAGGUACUCCGGAUAACAGGCUGAUACCGCCCAAGAGUUCAUAUCGACGGCGGUGUUUGGCACCUCGAUGUCGGCUCAUCACAUCCUGGGGCUGAAGUAGGUCCCAAGGGUAUGGCUGUUCGCCAUUUAAAGUGGUACGCGAGCUGGGUUUAGAACGUCGUGAGACAGUUCGGUCCCUAUCUGCCGUGGGCGCUGGAGAACUGAGGGGGGCUGCUCCUAGUACGAGAGGACCGGAGUGGACGCAUCACUGGUGUUCGGGUUGUCAUGCCAAUGGCACUGCCCGGUAGCUAAAUGCGGAAGAGAUAAGUGCUGAAAGCAUCUAAGCACGAAACUUGCCCCGAGAUGAGUUCUCCCUGACUCCUUGAGAGUCCUGAAGGAACGUUGAAGACGACGACGUUGAUAGGCCGGGUGUGUAAGCGCAGCGAUGCGUUGAGCUAACCGGUACUAAUGAACCGUGAGGCUUAACCU
Molecule: ribosomal RNA, 1547 nt
Filed under: metagenome
Description: bacterial LSU rRNA
Rfam family: Bacterial large subunit ribosomal RNA
Source: RNAcentral